AACGAACGCUGGCGGCAUGCCUAACACAUGCAAGUCGAACGAAACCUUCGGGUCUAGUGGCGCACGGGUUCGUAACGCGUGGGAACCUUCCCUUAGGUUCGGAAUAACUCCCCGAAAGGGGUGCUAAUACCGGAUAAUGUCUUCGGACCAAAGAUUUAUCGCCUUUGGAUGUGCCCGCGUUGGAUUAGCUAGUUGGUAGGGUAAUAGCCUACCAAGGCGACGAUCCAUAGCUGGUCUGAGAGGAUGAUCAGCCACACUGGGACUGAGACACGGCCCAGACUCCUACGGGAUGCAGCAGUGGGGAAUAUUGGACAAUGGGCGAAAGCAUGAUCCAGCAAUGCCGCGUGAGUGAUGAAGGCCUUAGGGUUGUAAAGCUCUUUUAACCGGGAUGAUAAUGACAGUACCGGGAGAAUAAGCUCCGGCUAACUCCGUG
RNAcentral lists this ribosomal RNA (433 nucleotides) under uncultured bacterium. RNAcentral's name for it is "partial 16S ribosomal RNA". It matches the Rfam family "Bacterial small subunit ribosomal RNA", at positions 29 to 507 of the family's 1533-position model. The record is from RNAcentral.